RNAcentral lists this ribosomal RNA (253 nucleotides) under uncultured bacterium. RNAcentral's name for it is "partial 16S ribosomal RNA". It matches the Rfam family "Bacterial small subunit ribosomal RNA", at positions 524 to 776 of the family's 1533-position model. The record is from RNAcentral.
UACGAAGGGGGCAAGCGUUGUUCGGAUUUACUGGGCGUACAGGGAGCGUAGGCGGUUGGAUAAGCCCUCCGUGAAAUCUCCAGGCUUAACCUGGAAAGUGCAGAGGGGACUGUUCAGCUAGAGGAUGGGAGAGGAGCGCGGAAUUCCCGGUGUAGCGGUGAAAUGCGUAGAGAUCGGUAGGAACACCAGUGGCGAAAGCGGCUCUCUGGAACGGUACUGACGCUGAGACGCGAAAGCGUGGGGAGCGAACAGG